RNAcentral lists this ribosomal RNA (430 nucleotides) under Pseudomonadota bacterium. Its description in RNAcentral is "Proteobacteria bacterium partial 16S ribosomal RNA". It matches the Rfam family "Bacterial small subunit ribosomal RNA", at positions 355 to 776 of the family's 1533-position model. The record is from RNAcentral. Lineage: Bacteria; Pseudomonadati; Pseudomonadota.
UGGGGAAUAUUGGACAAUGGGCGCAAGCCUGAUCCAGCCAUGCCGCGUGUGUGAAGAAGGCCUUAUGGUUGUAAAGCACUUUAAGCGAGGAGGAGGCUACUUUAGUUAAUACCUAGAGAUAGUGGACGUUACUCGCAGAAUAAGCACCGGCUAACUCUGUGCCAGCAGCCGCGGUAAUACAGAGGGUGCAAGCGUUAAUCGGAUUUACUGGGCGUAAAGCGCGCGUAGGCGGCUAAUUAAGUCAAAUGUGAAAUCCCCGAGCUUAACUUGGGAAUUGCAUUCGAUACUGGUUAGCUAGAGUGUGGGAGAGGAUGGUAGAAUUCCAGGUGUAGCGGUGAAAUGCGUAGAGAUCUGGAGGAAUACCGAUGGCGAAGGCAGCCAUCUGGCAUAACACUGACGCUGAGGUACGUAAGCAUGGGGAGCAAACAGG